CCCCCCGCCCCGUCUGAUGGAGAGGCCGUCUUCUACAACCAGGCGUCAGGCCUGGUUCCAGACCGGUCGCCAGUGGCCAACCCUGAAAGAACAAGAUCCACAGGGACCUCCAUCCAUCCACCCGUCUGUUCCACACCAGUCUGCAUCAGAGGAUGAUGUCUUCUCAGAUGGAUGCUCAGCAGGAAAGAUUGAGAGCUGGCUGCUGGGCUGUGGUUUUGAAGGAGUUCCGACAUGUGAUUGUGGAGGCCAG
Molecule: long non-coding RNA, 250 nt
Organism: Salvelinus sp. IW2-2015
Lineage: Eukaryota; Metazoa; Chordata; Actinopteri; Salmoniformes; Salmonidae
Source: RefSeq, a predicted model, not a curated record